RNAcentral lists this ribosomal RNA (262 nucleotides) under uncultured Methylibium sp. Its description in RNAcentral is "partial 16S ribosomal RNA". It matches the Rfam family "Bacterial small subunit ribosomal RNA", at positions 268 to 522 of the family's 1533-position model. The record is from RNAcentral. Lineage: Bacteria; Pseudomonadati; Pseudomonadota; Betaproteobacteria; Burkholderiales; Sphaerotilaceae.
CAAUGGCUACGAUUCCAUAGCUGGUCUGAGAGGAUGAUCAGCCACACUGGGACUGAGACACGGCCCAGACUCCUACGGGAGGCAGCAGUAGGGAAUCUUGCGCAAUGGGCGAAGGCCUGACGCAGCCAUGCCGCGUGUAUGAUGAAGGUCUUAAGAUUGUAAACCGCUUUUGUCGGGGAAGAAACGCUUCGGGCUAAUACCUCGAAGUAAUGACGGUACCCGAAGAAUAAGCACCGGCUAAUUUUUUGUCAGCACCGCGGUA